This 146-nucleotide unclassified non-coding RNA is filed under the name soil metagenome. RNAcentral's name for it is "partial internal transcribed spacer 1". The record is from RNAcentral.
UAAUAAGUGUUUUUACGGCACUUUUUAAAUCCAUAUCCACCUUGUGUGCAAUGUCAGUCGAUCUUCUUCAUGGAGAUCGACCAAACAUCAACCUUUAUCUUUUAACUCUUUGUCUGAAAAAUAUUAUGAAUAAACAAUUCAAAAUA